RNAcentral lists this ribosomal RNA (254 nucleotides) under uncultured bacterium. Its description in RNAcentral is "partial 16S ribosomal RNA". It matches the Rfam family "Bacterial small subunit ribosomal RNA", at positions 524 to 776 of the family's 1533-position model. The record is from RNAcentral.
UACGGGGGGAGCAAGCGUUGUUCGGAUUUACUGGGCGUAAAGGGCGCGUAGGCGGUCAGCACAAGUCAGUUGUGAAAUCUCCGGGCUUAACUCCGAAACUGCAUUCGAUACUGCCGUGCUUGAGGACUGGAGAGGAGACUGGAAUUUACGGUGUAGCGGUGAAAUGCGUAGAUAUCGUAAGGAAGACCAGUGGCGAAGGCGGGUCUCUGGACAGUUCCUGACGCUGAGGCACGAAGGUCAGGGGAGCAAACGGG